This 221-nucleotide ribosomal RNA is filed under the name uncultured bacterium. RNAcentral's name for it is "partial 16S ribosomal RNA". It matches the Rfam family "Bacterial small subunit ribosomal RNA", at positions 328 to 539 of the family's 1533-position model. The record is from RNAcentral.
ACGCUCGACACCUAGGAGGCAGCAGUAGGGAAUCUUCCACAAUGGACGCAAGUCUGAUGGAGCAACGCCGCGUGAGUGAAGAAGGUCUUCGGAUCGUAAAACUCUGUUGUUAGAGAAGAACACGAGUGAGAGUAACUGUUCAUUCGAUGACGGUAUCUAACCAGCAAGUCACGGCUAACUACGUGUCAGCAGCCGCGGUAAUCUGAGCGGGCUGGCAAGGC